RNAcentral lists this non-coding RNA (94 nucleotides) under Merdimmobilis hominis. The record is from RNAcentral. Lineage: Bacteria; Bacillati; Bacillota; Clostridia; Eubacteriales; Oscillospiraceae.
UGCAUCCGGGGAGCUUGCGCAGCAGGCUGAGAGGAGACGUAAUGCCGUCUCGACCCGCUAACCUGAUACGGAUAAUGCCGGCGGAGGGAGCUUU